RNAcentral lists this ribosomal RNA (446 nucleotides) under Aleiodes pinnulae. RNAcentral's name for it is "LSU rRNA". Lineage: Eukaryota; Metazoa; Arthropoda; Insecta; Hymenoptera; Braconidae. The record is from RNAcentral.
CCUGAGAAACCCAAAAGAUCGAAUGGGGAGAUUCAUCGUCAGCUCAUUUUGUAUAUGUAUAAGUUAUGAUNCGGGUUACUACUUGUAGUAUUGCCUGCACAUUCUUAUAUAUUUAGUUGCAAGAUGUUGUCGGCGUGCACUUCUCCUCUAGUAGGACGUCGCGACCUGUUGGGUGUCGGUCUACGGCCCAAGUGAUAGACUUUAAUGUAAUUUAAAAAGCAUUAAAGAUCCUUGGUGUUUUCUGACCGGCUACUUGGCAGUAUUCGUACGAUAUUUAGCCGCUAAUUUUUAUUAAGCGUCCAUAUCCUACACAAGCGAGGCUAAUUUACUGAUAGUAUGGACCUAGUGCCGUCGUUGGUAUUGGCCAGCUGUUAGUUGUAUGGUAUUCUAGGACUGGCUAAAAUUAAUUAUCGGUCGGCGAUGCUACUGCUUUGGGUACUUUCAGG